AACGUACGCUGGCGGCACGCCUAACACAUGCAAGUCGAACGAAGUAGCAAUACUUAGUGGCAGACGGGUGAGUAACAUGUAGGUAUCUACCCUUUGGCCUGGAAUAACACGAGGAAACUUGUGCUAAUACUGGAUAAGUCUUUACGGAGAAAGCUUUAUGCACCAUUGGAUGAGCCUGCACUUGAUUAGUUUGUUGGUGGGGUAAUGGCCUACCAAGACUGUGAUCAAUAGCUGAUUUGAGAGGAUGAUCAGCCACAUUGGGACUGAGACACGGCCCAAACUCCUACGGGAGGCAGCAGUGGGGAAUCUUGCACAAUGGAGGAAACUCUGAUGCAGCGAUGCCGUGUGAGUGAAGAAGGCCCUUGGGUUGUAAAGCUCUUUCGUCGGGGAAGAAAAUGACUGUACCCGAAUAAGAAGGUCCGGCUAACUUCGUGCCAGCAGCCGCGGUAAUACGAAGGGACCUAGCGUAGUUCGGAAUUACUGGGCUUAAAGAGUUCGUAGGUGGUUGAAAAAGUUGGUGGUGAAAUCCCAGAGCUUAACUCUGGAACUGCCAUCAAAACUUUUCAGCUAGAGUAUGAUAGAGGAAAGCAGAAUUUCUAGUGUAGAGGUGAAAUUCGUAGAUAUUAGAAAGAAUACCAAUUGCGAAGGCAGCUUUCUGGAUCAUUACUGACACUGAGGAACGAAAGCAUGGGUAGCGAAGAGGAUUAGAUACCCUCGUAGUCCAUGCCGUAAACGAUGUGUGUUAGACGUUGGAAAUUUAUUUUCAGUGUCGCAGCGAAAGCGAUAAACACACCGCCUGGGGAGUACGACCGCAAGGUUAAAACUCAAAUGAAUUGACGGGGACCCGCACAAGUAGUGGAGCAUGUGGUUUAAUUCGAAGAUACGCGCAGAACCUUACCAACACUUGACAUGUUCGUCGCGACUUUAAGAGAUUAAAGUUUUCGGUUCGGCCGGACGAAACACAGGUGCUGCAUGGCUGUCGUCAGCUCGUGUCGUGAGAUGUUGGGUUAAGUCCCGCAACGAGCGCAACCCUCACUUUUAGUUGCCAUCAUUAAGUUGGGCACUCUGAAAGAACUGCCAGUGAUAAGCUGGAGGAAGGUGGGGAUGACGUCAAGUCCUCAUGGCCCUUACGUGUUGGGCUACACACGUGCUACAAUGGUAUCUACAACAGGAAGCAAGACUGCGAAGUUAAGCAAAUCCCUAAAAGAUACCUCAGUUCGGAUUGCACUCUGCAACUCGAGUGCAUGAAGCUGGAAUUACUAGUAAUCGUGGAUCAGCGUGCCACGGUGAAUGCGUUCCCGGGUCUUGUACACACCGCCCGUCGCACCAUGGGAGUUGGUUCUACCUUAAGGCAAGGUUUCAAACCCUUGACCACGGUAUAGUCAGCGACUGGGGUG
RNAcentral lists this ribosomal RNA (1397 nucleotides) under uncultured bacterium. Its description in RNAcentral is "bacterial SSU rRNA". It matches the Rfam family "Bacterial small subunit ribosomal RNA". The record is from RNAcentral.